This 253-nucleotide ribosomal RNA is filed under the name uncultured bacterium. RNAcentral's name for it is "partial 16S ribosomal RNA". It matches the Rfam family "Bacterial small subunit ribosomal RNA", at positions 524 to 776 of the family's 1533-position model. The record is from RNAcentral.
UACGUAUGGUGCAAGCGUGAUCCGGAAUGACUGGGUGUAAAGGGAGCGUAGACGGUUGUACAAGUCUGAUGUGAAAGCCCACGGCUCAACUGUGGGAGUGCAUUGGAAACUGUAGAACUAGAGUAUCGGAGAGGCAAGUGGAAUUCCUAGUGUAGCGGUGAAAUGCGUAGAUAUUAGGAGGAACACCAGUGGCGAAGGCGGCUUGCUGGACGAAAACUGACGUUGAGGCUCGAAAGCGUGGGGAGCAAACAGG